Talpa occidentalis (Iberian mole) is the source of this 513-nucleotide non-coding RNA. The record is from the annotation of a RefSeq genome assembly. NCBI's taxonomy places the organism in Eukaryota, Metazoa, Chordata, Mammalia, Eulipotyphla, Talpidae.
AUGGGCUCCAGGCUCCUCUGCUGUGUGGCCCUUUGUCUCCUGGGAGCAGGCCCAGUGGACUCUGAAGUCACACAGAACCCCAAGUAUCUGGUCACAAUGAGAGGACAGAACGUGACCCUGAGAUGUUCCUAUAAGACUGGACACCUCGCUGUGUACUGGUACCAGCAGGCCCCGGGCCAGGGCCCCGAGUUCCUGGUUCGGUGUUAUAAUGGGGAAGAGAAAGAAAAAGGAAGGAACUCUGACCGGUUCAAAGCUGGGCAGUUCAAAAGCAAUAGUAGCCCUGAGCUGAAUGUGAGCCUCGUGGAGCUGGGAGACACGGCCCUGUAUCUCUGCGCCAGCAGCAAGAAAAUCCUGGACACAGACAUGGAACCCACUCCCGCCCAGGUCAAGGUCCGAGACAUGGUUACAGCAUCAGGGGCCUCCUCAGUUUCUGCUUCAGUGUCUGUCCUUCAUGCCAGCCCUGGGGGUGCUGCCUCGCCCAGACCCGGGCCCUGUGGUUUUACCCUGGACUGA